GAAAAACAAAAGAAGAACACGAAUCUGAAGACGAACGAGUUUGAAAAUGUCUAGUGGGGCUACAUGGAGUAGUGAAGAGGUGUAGGUGCACAAUUACAUUUGAACACCAAAGUAGCAACAGAAACCUUAUGAGACAUACUUUCUUUUUUGGGCUUCUUGGCCCGUUUUAGGGUCCAGAUGGGUUCAUACCGGAGUAAUCCGCUCCAUAAACCAAACUCUGGCAUGGUACAAAGCGUUCCAAAGGUUCAGUGAGAAAGCAGUGACACUUUUGAACUUUUCCCUUUUAUUUUCAAUGGUAGUUCUGGAUGCAACACAUGUUUUGGCCACCAGCGAAACUGGUAAAGCUCCAUAGUUUGCCUGAAGAAGUUACAACUGUGGGCUUUAUAAGAAAGUUUUUGUCUAAUCCAUGGCAAUAAUGAGGACAAGGACUUUAGUGUGUGAAACCACACACUUUUGAGCGCGGUGAAGUUACUUUUAGGAUGAAUAUUGUAUAUUUGCGCCCCGUGUAUUCAGGGGGCUUGUCCUCCCAUUUGAUCCAAUAUAGGCAGUCUGAUUACGGGCAGCUGCUCCCUCCCCCUGCAGACGCUGGUUUGCUUGAGGACCAUCAAUAAAUUUCCAAGCCAAACACGCAGUUUCAUGGUGUUUUGGAAGGAAACAUUUGUGCGUCUGAACAGCUGACUUAGGAUGUUAUUAAAUAAAGUGCCCCAUCUGCGUGUAAUUCAGAAAGAUGAAAGUUUUCUUUUCUUUUCGUUCAACCUUUAGGCAUGGAUUAUGAUUUGUAAAUUGUAAAAUUCUAGUUUGAUUUGACCCAUCUGGCCAUUGUGAUCCUUAAUAUUAUUGUAAUCGCUCUUGAGUUUUAUUACCUUUUCCCUGCACUAUCUCUUUGAAAACCUCAUCUCUCCUGGUCCCAUGGCCAAUCAGUGGCCAGCAGUCUGUUUAUGUCACAUGUAGUCCCAACUCAGUCCCGAUUGUAUCAGGAGCAGGGAAGAAAAAAGUAGGUACCAGUGCGGAAAAAAACAGUAAUGAAAAAGCGGGCAGAGUCGAGCAAAGCCGGACUAAAUUGAGCCAGUGGAAAACGGGCAAUUGUGUUUAGAGAACAGCCAGAACUGGUUCCAGAGCUAAAUUAAUUACUACUUCAAGUAUCGUGUUGGUUUUUAUUUACAGUGGCUUAUAAAAGUAUUCAUACCCCUUAACCUUUUCCACAUAUUGUUACAUUACAACCACAAACAUACAUAUAUUUGAUUGGAAUUUUAUGUGAAAGACCAACACAAAGUGGUAUACAAUUGUGAAGUGGAAUAAAAAUCAUACAUGAUUUAAAAAAUAUUUUACAAAUAAAAAAGUGAAACAUGCAGUGUGCAAAAGUCUUUAGCCGCCCAAAAUAUGGUGCCAGCUGCAUCAUGCUCUGGGGGUGCUUCUCUUCAGAAGGGACAGGGAAGGUGGUCAGAGGUGAUGGGACGAUGGAUGGAGCCAAAUACAGGGCAAUCUUGGAAGAAAACCUGUUGGAGUCCGCAAAAGGCUCCAUUAUUUGGUGCACUACAAUUCUAAUCUAGAAGAUUUUCAGUUAAAUUUGGUUUUAAAGUUUCAUUUCUGCUCAUAAUUAUUCUUGUUUUCUGCGAUUCUCAUGUACUUAGGGCUGGAGUUUGAUCUCUAGUGUGAAGGCCACCACACCCCUUUUUCGCCAUCAUCGUGUAGGACUGUGAUAAAGGACAUGCAGGUGGAAAGAAGGUGAUGCUAACAACACCCACUUUAUAUAUUACAGUUCUGUUACAACUAUGAUCUGAACAAUGCCCCUGACGUUUAAUGCUUGGAUAACAUGGAAUAACUAAGAGGAGAUAAUGCCCUCUUCAAAAGACCCCACUGGUUUCCUGCAGAUUUAGUUCUGGACUCUGGCUAGGCAAAUAUUAACCAGUCGAGAUGUAGGAGGCUGAUGUGCUCCUAUUAAAGAAGACUGAAAGCUGAAACUGAAUCAAAAGGUGCUUCAACAAAGUUUUAGUUUAAGUGUGUGCACAAACCAAGCAACUACUCACCUGUUUGGCCACCAGUCCUGUACCACACGCCACAUCCAGCACAACGGCUGCUUCUCGCACAGCGUUAAAAUGGGAUGAGAUGCUGUUUGCUGCGAGACUUGGUGCACAGUAGUCCA
Molecule: long non-coding RNA, 2143 nt
Organism: Girardinichthys multiradiatus
Lineage: Eukaryota; Metazoa; Chordata; Actinopteri; Cyprinodontiformes; Goodeidae
Exons: 3
Source: RefSeq, a predicted model, not a curated record